Molecule: long non-coding RNA, 628 nt
Organism: Archocentrus centrarchus (flier cichlid)
Lineage: Eukaryota; Metazoa; Chordata; Actinopteri; Cichliformes; Cichlidae
Exons: 3
Source: RefSeq, a predicted model, not a curated record
GAAGAGACCACCAUGCCCCAUUAUCCAUCAACAGGACUCAGGUGGAGAGGGUGAAGACCUUCAGACUCCUCGACACUCACAUCAGUGAAGCCAUCUAUACAGAUCUCUACAACACAGUGCAGAUCAUCAAGAAGGCUCCACAGAGACUGUUCUUCCUAAGGAAGCUGAGGCAAUCUGGAUUACCCUCCAAGCUCCUCAGCAGCUCUUACAGAUGCACAGUGUAAAACUCCGUCACAGUGUGGUACGGGACCUGCACUACCCAGGACAGGAAGUGCUGCAGUUCAUCUGUGGAGUUGCCUUCCCAUCACUACAGGACACCUAUAAUACCCAGGCGGUGCAGGUGUAGGUGCCUGUGUUUCCGUCUGUGGGGUAUUUCAGGGUCAGACUGAAGUCUCCAGUGUUCAGCAGGUCUUCGUCCAUCUUUGUUCGGUCUUUGUAAAUCCGGUGCUGUUCUCCAUGCUGGCCCUUCUGAUGCACAUGGACCGUCACAUUGCGGUGCAGGUGUAGGUGUCACUGUCUGUGGGGUGUUUCAAGGUCAGACUGAGGUCUCCAGUUUUCAGCAUGAAGUUCCUCUUCAUCUCUGUUCGUCCUCUGUAAAAGUCGUCCUGUUCUCCAGGCUGGUCAGAGC